AGAGUUGAUCCUGGCUUAGGAUGAACGCUGGCGGCGUGCCUAACACAUGCAAGUCGAACGGGUUAAGGGAAAUUUCGGAUGGAACUUAACUAGUGGCGGACGGGUGAGUAACGCGUGGAUAACCUGCCUCACACUGGGGGAUAGCAGCUGGAAACGGCUGGUAAUACCGCAUAAGACCCCGGUGCCGCAUGGCACCGAGGUAAAAGAUUUAUCGGUGUGAGAUGGAUCCGCGUCUGAUUAGCCAGUUGGCGGGGUAACGGCCCACCAAAGCGACGAUCAGUAGCCGGCCUGAGAGGGUGAACGGCCACAUUGGGACUGAGACACGGCCCAAACUCCUACGGGAGGCAGCAGUGGGGAAUAUUGCACAAUGGGCGCAAGCCUGAUGCAGCAACGCCGCGUGAGUGAAGAAGUAUUUCGGUAUGUAAAGCUCUAUCGGCAGGGAAGAAAGGCCCGAAAGGGAGAUGACGGUACCUGACUAAGAAGCCCCGGCUAACUACGUGCCAGCAGCAGC
This 511-nucleotide ribosomal RNA is filed under the name uncultured bacterium. Its description in RNAcentral is "bacterial SSU rRNA". It matches the Rfam family "Bacterial small subunit ribosomal RNA", at positions 8 to 518 of the family's 1533-position model. The record is from RNAcentral.